CACGAGCGGCGAACGGGUGAGUAACACGUGGGUGACCUGCCCUCAGCUCUGGGAUAAGCCUGGGAAACUGGGUCUAAUACCGGAUAUGACCUUCUGUCGCAUGGCAGUGGGUGGAAAGUUUUUCGGCUGGGGAUGGGCCCGCGGCCUAUCAGCUUGUUGGUGGGGUGAUGGCCUACCAAGGCGACGACGGGUAGCCGGCCUGAGAGGGCGACCGGCCACACUGGGACUGAGACACGGCCCAGACUCCUACGGGAGGCAGCAGUGGGGAAUAUUGCGCAAUGGGCGAAAGCCUGACGCAGCGACGCCGCGUGGGGGAUGACGGCCUUCGGGUUGUAAACCUCUUUCGCCAUCGACGAAGCCUUCGGGUGACGGUAGGUGGAGAAGAAGCACCGGCCAACUACGUGCCAGCAGCCGCGGUAAUACGUAGGGUGCGAGCGUUGUCCGGAAUUAUUGGGCGUAAAGAGCUCGUAGGCGGUGUGUCGCGUCGGUCGUGAAAACUUGGGGCUUAACUCUGAGCUUGCGGUCGAUACGGGCAUCACUUGAGUUCGGCAGGGGAGACUGGAAUUCCUGGUGUAGCGGUGAAAUGCGCAGAUAUCAGGAGGAACACCGGUGGCGAAGGCGGGUCUCUGGGCCGAUACUG
This 640-nucleotide ribosomal RNA is filed under the name Pseudonocardia sp. I11A-00655. Its description in RNAcentral is "bacterial SSU rRNA". It matches the Rfam family "Bacterial small subunit ribosomal RNA", at positions 90 to 742 of the family's 1533-position model. Lineage: Bacteria; Bacillati; Actinomycetota; Actinomycetes; Pseudonocardiales; Pseudonocardiaceae. The record is from RNAcentral.